RNAcentral lists this transfer RNA (56 nucleotides) under opilioacarid SJD-2001. RNAcentral describes it as "tRNA-Ser". The record is from RNAcentral. Lineage: Eukaryota; Metazoa; Arthropoda; Arachnida; Opilioacarida; Opilioacaridae.
AAGAAACUACGGGCAGAGCUGCUAACUCUCACAAAUUUAUAAAAUUUAGUUUCUGU